AUUGAACGCUGGCGGCAUGCUUUACACAUGCAAGUCGAACGGCAGCACGGGUGCUUGCACCUGGUGGCGAGUGGCGGACGGGUGAGUAAUGCAUCGGAACGUGUCCUGAAGUGGGGGGAUAACGCAUCGAAAGAUGUGCUAAUACCGCAUAUUCUCUGAGGAGGAAAGUAGGGGAUCGAAAGACCUUAUGCUUUUGGAGCGGCCGAUGUCUGAUUAGCUAGUUGGUAGGGUAAUGGCUUACCAAGGCGACGAUCAGUAGUUGGUCUGAGAGGACGACCAGCCACACUGGGACUGAGACACGGCCCAGACUCCUACGGGAGGCAGCAGUGGGGAAUUUUGGGACAAUGGGCGCAAGCCUGAUCCAGCAAUGCCGCGUGAGUGAAGAAGGCCUGG
RNAcentral lists this ribosomal RNA (393 nucleotides) under uncultured bacterium. RNAcentral's name for it is "bacterial SSU rRNA". It matches the Rfam family "Bacterial small subunit ribosomal RNA", at positions 30 to 419 of the family's 1533-position model. The record is from RNAcentral.